Molecule: long non-coding RNA, 101 nt
Organism: Alosa sapidissima (American shad)
Lineage: Eukaryota; Metazoa; Chordata; Actinopteri; Clupeiformes; Clupeidae
Exons: 3
Source: RefSeq, a predicted model, not a curated record
UAUAGGGACAGGUGUUGGUGCAGGAUGUGUGUAUGGGUAUAGGUACAGGUGUGGGUGCAGGAUGUGUGUAUGGGUAUAGGUACAGGUGUGGGUGCAGGAUG